UCUUCGGAUGGAAUCGAUAAGUUCUAGCGGCGGACGGGUGAGUAACGCGUGAGCAACCUGCCCUCCACAGGGGGAUAACGCACCGAAAGGUGCACUAAUACCGCAUAAGACCACGUUUCUGACAUGGGAAUGAGGUCAAAGGAGCAAUCCGGUGGAAGAUGGGCUCGCGUCUGAUUAGCUAGUCGGUGAGGUAACGGCCCACCAAGGCGACGAUCAGUAGCCGACCUGAGAGGGUGAUCGGCCACAUUGGAACUGAGAGACGGUCCAAACUCC
RNAcentral lists this ribosomal RNA (273 nucleotides) under uncultured Eubacteriales bacterium. RNAcentral's name for it is "uncultured Clostridiales bacterium partial 16S ribosomal RNA". It matches the Rfam family "Bacterial small subunit ribosomal RNA", at positions 77 to 339 of the family's 1533-position model. Lineage: Bacteria; Bacillati; Bacillota; Clostridia; Eubacteriales. The record is from RNAcentral.